CAGUAGCCACGGGAAUACGAGGGGGGCUAGCGUUGCUCGGAAUGACUGGGCGUAAAGGGCGCGUAGGCGGAUUGUUUAGUUAGGCGUGAAAUUCCAGGGCUUAACCUGGGGACUGCGCUUAAUACAGGCAGUCUAGAGUGAGGAAGAGGGUUGUGGAAUUCCCAGUGUAGAGGUGAAAUUCGUAGAUAUUGGGAAGAACACCGGUGGCGAAGGCGGCAACCUGGUCCUUGACUGACGCUGAGGCGCGAAAGCGUGGGGAGCAAACAGGAUUAGAUACCCCGGUAGUCCCUGUCUCUUAUAC
This 301-nucleotide ribosomal RNA is filed under the name uncultured bacterium. RNAcentral describes it as "partial 16S ribosomal RNA". It matches the Rfam family "Bacterial small subunit ribosomal RNA", at positions 509 to 807 of the family's 1533-position model. The record is from RNAcentral.